GAUGAACGCUAGCUACAGGCUUAACACAUGCAAGUCGAGGGGCAUCAUGCGGUGUGCUUGCACACCGUGAUGGCGACCGGCGCACGGGUGAGUAACGCGUAUCCAACCUUCCCCUUGCCGCGGGCCAGCCCACCGAAAGGUGGAUUAAUCCCGCAUGAGGCGCUGUGACGGCAUCAGAGCCGCGCCAAAGGUAUUCUCCGGCAAGGGAUGGGGAUGCGUCCGAUUAGCCAGGCGGCGGGGCAACGGCCCACCGCGGCGACGAUCGGUAGGGGUCCUGAGAGGGAGGCCCCCCACACUGGGACUGAGACACGGCCCAGACUCCUACGGGAGGCAGCAGUGAGGAAUAUUGGUCAAUGGGCGGAAGCCUGAACCAGCCAAGUAGCGUGAGGGACGACGGCCCUAUGGGUUGUAAACCUCUUUUGUGCGGGGACAAAGCGGCCUACGGGUAGGCCUUUGCGGGUACCGCACGAAUAAGGACCGGCUAAUUCCGUGCCAGCAGCCGCGGUAAUACGGAAGGUCCGGGCGUUAUCCGGAAUCAUUGGGUUUAAAGGGAGCGUAGGCGGCCUUUCAAGCGUGCCGUGAAAUGUCCGGGCUCAACCCGGUCAGUGCGGCGCGAACUGGAUGGCUUGAGUUCCCGCGAGGCAGGCGGAAUUCGUGGUGUAGCGGUGAAAUGCUUAGAUAUCACGAGGAACCCCGAUUGCGAAGGCAGCCUGCCAGCGGUGGACUGACGCUGAUGCUCGAAGGCGCGGGUAUCGAACAGGAUUAGAUACCCUGGUAGUCCGCGCGGUAAACGAUGGAUGCCCGCCCUGCGGCCGUUUUUGGUUGCGGGGCCAAGCGAAAGCGUUAAGCAUCCCACCUGGGGAGUACGCCGGCAACGGUGAAACUCAAAGGAAUUGACGGGGGCCCGCACAAGCGGAGGAACAUGUGGUUUAAUUCGAUGAUACGCGAGGAACCUUACCCGGGCUUGAACUGCGGACGGAUGAUCCAGAGAUGGUGAAGCCCUUUCGGGGCGUCCGCGGAGGUGCUGCAUGGUUGUCGUCAGCUCGUGCCGUGAGGUGUCGGCUCAAGUGCCAUAACGAGCGCAACCCCCUCCCGCAGUUGCCAUCGCGUCGUGGCGGGCACUCUGCGGGCACUGCCGCCGCAAGGUGCGAGGAAGGCGGGGAUGACGUCAAAUCAGCACGGCCCUUACGUCCGGGGCCACACACGUGUUACAAUGGGGCGCACAGAGGGAUGGGGCUGCGCAAGCAGUCCCGGAUCGCGAAACCGCCCCCCAGUUCGGACUGGGGUCUGCAACCCGACCCCACGAAGCUGGAUUCGCUAGUAAUCGCGCAUCAGCCAUGGCGCGGUGAAUACGUUCCCGGGCCUUGUACACACCGCCCGUCAAGCCAUGAAAGCCGGGGGCGCCUGAAGUCCGUGACCGCGAGGGUCGGCCUAGGGCGAAACCGGUGAUUGGGGC
RNAcentral lists this ribosomal RNA (1456 nucleotides) under uncultured Prevotellaceae bacterium. RNAcentral's name for it is "16S ribosomal RNA". It matches the Rfam family "Bacterial small subunit ribosomal RNA". Lineage: Bacteria; Pseudomonadati; Bacteroidota; Bacteroidia; Bacteroidales; Prevotellaceae. The record is from RNAcentral.